GCCAUGAUGGCUCCGUCUCAUUCUGUCACAGAUCGUCUUUAUAAGCCAGACAUUUCAGUGCUAUAAACUGAUGAGACACCCACAGAAUUUAACAGAAAUCGAAGGUGUGGAAAGGAUCUCAGACAAGCGAAUCCAUCACUGUUACUGUACAGAUAAGAAAUGGAGGCCAAAUAGGAUUAGCAACUUGCUCAGGACUCCACAGGCAUAGCCUGCUGUUGCAGAGAGGAAGGAGAAGUGGUAGCAAGCAGAAAGAGCAGCAACUGGAUGGCACAGAAUGAGUUCUGACGUUUACAUCAGAAGAUGGCCCUGAACCGGAGCCAAAGCUGGCCGAGGAGCUGGGGGAGAUUCUGAGACUCACACUUUCAUUUGUGAAGUGAGAUGCUGACUCUAUUGUUGGUUUUGUUUGGGGGUUUGAUGCUGAAAUAAAGCAAUACACACGAGGAAAUUUACUGGCAUUGUAUUAAAAAACAAAGUUAAUGUAUGAUGAUGCCGUAGAGUGAUUCAUGAAUGGCAUUAUGAAUAUUUUAAAAACACAAAAGGAAUUAAAAGAGUAUACUUGGAUGUUAAUGAAAAUAAAAUUUCAUUGAGAACAAGAAUCUUGGUAAACAUCAGUUGAUAUUAAAAAUUUAUUGCUUUUAA
RNAcentral lists this long non-coding RNA (639 nucleotides) under Homo sapiens (human). RNAcentral describes it as "long non-coding RNA NONHSAT200743.1". The record is from RNAcentral. Lineage: Eukaryota; Metazoa; Chordata; Mammalia; Primates; Hominidae.